GGGCUUGACAUCCCACGAACCUGCCCGAAAGGGUAGGGUGCCCGCAAGGGAGCGUGGAGACAGGUGGUGCAUGGCUGUCGUCAGCUCGUGUCGUGAGAUGUUGGGUUAAGUCCCGCAACGAGCGCAACCCUCACCCCUUGUUGCGACCGGGUAAAGCCGAGCACUCUAGGGGAACUGCUAGCGUCAAGCUGGAGGAAGGCGGGGAUGACGUCAAGUCAUCAUGCCCCUUACGCCCUGGGCUACACACGUGCUACAAUGGCCGGCACAAAGGGAUGCAAGACCGCGAGGUGGAGCUAACCCCAAAAAACCGGUCUAAGUUCAGAUUGCAGUCUGCAACUCGACUGCAUGAAGGAGGAAUCGCUAGUAAUCGCGCAUCAGCCCGGCGCGGUGAAUACGUUCCCGGGCCUUGUACACACCGCCCGUCACACCACGAAAGCUUACUGUACUCGAAGUCGCUGAG
This 460-nucleotide ribosomal RNA is filed under the name uncultured Methylomirabilota bacterium. RNAcentral's name for it is "bacterial SSU rRNA". It matches the Rfam family "Bacterial small subunit ribosomal RNA", at positions 977 to 1434 of the family's 1533-position model. The record is from RNAcentral. Lineage: Bacteria; Methylomirabilota (SeqCode).